GUAGGAGGCAAGCGUUAUCCGGAUUUAUUGGGCGUAAAGGGCGUCUAGGCGGUGUCUUAAGUUGGGCGUGAAAUCUCCCGGCUCAACUGGGAGGGGCCGUUCAAUACUGAGACACUUGAGGGCAGGAGAGGAAAGUGGAAUUCCCGGUGUAGUGGUGGAAUACUUAGAUAUCGGGAGGAACACCAGUGGCGAAGGCGGCUUUCUGGCCUGCACCUGACGCUGAGGCGCGAAAGCGUGGGGAGCAAACAGGAUUAGAUACCCUGGUAGUCCACGCCGUAAACGAUGAGUGCUAAGUGUUAGGGGGUUUCCCGCCCCCCUUAGUGCUGCAGCUAACGCAUUAAGCACUCCGCCUGGGGGAGUACGGCCGCAAGGCUG
Molecule: ribosomal RNA, 375 nt
Filed under: uncultured organism
Description: partial 16S ribosomal RNA
Rfam family: Bacterial small subunit ribosomal RNA
Source: RNAcentral